This 508-nucleotide ribosomal RNA is filed under the name uncultured bacterium. RNAcentral's name for it is "bacterial SSU rRNA". It matches the Rfam family "Bacterial small subunit ribosomal RNA", at positions 28 to 518 of the family's 1533-position model. The record is from RNAcentral.
GAUGAACGCUGGCGGCGUGCCUAAUACAUGCAAGUCGAGCGAACAGAUAAGGAGCUUGCUCCUUUGACGUUAGCGGCGGACGGGUGAGUAACACGUGGGUAACCUACCUAUAAGACUGGAAUAACUCCGGGAAACCGGGGCUAAUGCCGGAUAAUAUUUAGAACCGCAUGGUUCUAAAGUGAAAGAUGGUUUUGCUAUCACUUAUAGAUGGACCCGCGCCGUAUUAGCUAGUUGGUGGGGUAAUGGCUUACCAAGGCAACGAUACGUAGCCGACCUGAGAGGGUGAUCGGCCACACUGGAACUGAGACACGGUCCAGACUCCUACGGGAGGCAGCAGUAGGGAAUCUUCCGCAAUGGGCGAAAGCCUGACGGAGCAACGCCGCGUGAGUGAUGAAGGUCUUCGGAUCGUAAAACUCUGUUAUUAGGGAAGAACAAAUGUGUAAGUAACUGUGCACGUCUUGACGGUACCUAAUCAGAAAGCCACGGCUAACUACGUGCCAGCAGCCGC